RNAcentral lists this ribosomal RNA (433 nucleotides) under uncultured bacterium. RNAcentral's name for it is "partial 16S ribosomal RNA". It matches the Rfam family "Bacterial small subunit ribosomal RNA", at positions 29 to 507 of the family's 1533-position model. The record is from RNAcentral.
AACGAACGCUGGCGGCAUGCCUAACACAUGCAAGUCGAACGAGACCUUCGGGUCUAGUGGCGCACGGGUGCGUGACGCGUGGGAAUCUGCCCUUGGGUUCGGAAUAACAGUUGGAAACGACUGCUAAUACCGGAUGAUGACGUAAGUCCAAAGAUUUAUCGCCCAGGGAUGAGCCCGCGUAGGAUUAGCUAGUUGGUGGGGUAAAGGCCUACCAAGGCGACGAUCCUUAGCUGGUCUGAGAGGAUGAUCAGCCACACUGGGACUGAGACACGGCCCAGACUCCUACGGGAGGCAGCAGUGGGGAAUAUUGGACAAUGGGCGAAAGCCUGAUCCAGCAAUGCCGCGUGAGUGAUGAAGGCCUUAGGGUUGUAAAACUCUUUUACCCGGGAUGAUAAUGACAGUACCGGGAGAAUAAGCCCCGGCUAACUCCGUG